This 1872-nucleotide long non-coding RNA is filed under the name Homo sapiens (human). Its description in RNAcentral is "long intergenic non-protein coding RNA 635". Lineage: Eukaryota; Metazoa; Chordata; Mammalia; Primates; Hominidae. The record is from RNAcentral.
AUAGCAACAGCAGCGUAGCUGAACAUCUUACGGAUGGCCCAGGGCUCCAAAGGCUCGUUUCCUAAGUGAGAGAGAGCCUGGCUGAAGCUGUAUUACCAUUCAUUCUCCAGCCUCCGAAGUCUCAAAGCAUCACUUCCACCAUACUCUAACUGUCAAGACAAACACAAAGGCCCAGACAUUACAUGUAAAUGGAAUCAUACAAUAUGUGAUCUUUUGUGACUGGCUUCUUUCACUUAGCAUAACGUUUUCAAGGUUUGUUCGUGUUGUAGCAGAAACUGCCAGACUGUCUUCUGAAGUGGCUAUAAUAUUUACACUCCCAUCAGCAGUGUAGAAGGGGUCUCACUAUGUUGUCUGGAGUGCUGUGGUGGAGUGGAGUGGCUAUUCACAGCUGAGUUUGCAGAGUAAACCACUACCCUGAAAUCUGGAAAGGCAGGUGCACCCACAGAUCCUCAGCUGAGAUCCAAUUACCUGAAAUAGAAGCUGCCAUUAGGAACACUUAAAAGAGCCUGUUCUGCUGGGACACAGAAUCACUUGCUCCAUCUCAUACAUUGAUGAUGAUUAAUUUGUAUGUGUACCUUCCAAAAAAGAUGGUUGUGUUUGAAUGGAGGCCUUCUGGACAGGAAAAUUGCAAAGUACAAUUAACAUUUGAGUCUGUCUGAGUCAUGAAGAAAUGGAGAUUACUGAAAAUAAUUCAUUUUGGUAUCUUCUUACAUCCUGAGAGACUAAUCUUUCCAAGUUCAUCUGAGGCUCCUCUUCUCCAUGACAACCUCAUCCAGGGAUUUCUUCCUGUCCUGGUGUUUUAUGACAUGUGGAAGGGGACUGUAGCAGGUGAUCUCCAAAGUCUCUGGAGACUUACUAAUGUGCAUCCUCAUCUCGCUUGUAAGGAUAAUAGCCUUCCUCCAAACCUCACACACUUUUGGAGGAGAUCACUUUUUUUAAAGUGCAUGGAAAUGUUUUGAAACAGUGAAAUCUAUAAUGAUAGGUUUCAUAAUUCUAACAUCCACACCAUAUGAAUCACAUCCUUCCUGAGAUAAUGAGCACACAAUUGCCUGGAUACCUGAAGGAAUGGAGACAGCGGCAGAAAACACUGCAGAGAGGUGGAAACAUCCGUUAAUAUUUUAAAAUCCCAUUACUGCUACCAACAAUAAUAAUGGAUGCAUAGAAAUAGAUCUGGAUUAGCUGAGCUUGAAACAGUCCAUCUCACACACACACAAAAGAAUUUCAGAUACAGUGAACCCACAUGUUGAAGCUUUCUAGUAUAAUAAAAAUUUCAACUGUUCUGUUGAAUCAUCUGCCUGAUUGGAGGCUACAGAAAAGAUGUCAUCUUAGGAGUGCUUGCUCUGAGUGAGGCUCAUCUUCAAAUCUGAAUGACCACAAGGAGAUUUGAUUAUACAUGUGAACACCUCAGAAGGCACAGCCCACCCAGAAGGCAGACAGGUCAGGCUGCUUUUUCUUCAUUGCUUGGAUUCAAUCCUCCGGGCGGCUCAGGCUCAAACAUAACUUAAGCAUGAUUAAACUUUAGAAGAAGCUGCCAGGAAGACUGUGAAAUCUUCAUGCCCAAGGAUCCCUAAAAUUAGGAGCAACAACCACUUGGCUCAGACGGUUUAUGGAGGCAAAGGUUUGGAUGGGAUUAGAGAUUUCUAAAUGUGAGUUCGUGUCCUCUGCCAGACCACCUUACUUCCACCAUUCCUCAGCAAAUCAAGAAAAACAGGAGAAAAGACAUGCCUUUCCAUAAGUUAAAUCUAUUCUGUUUUAAUUCUAUAUUAUAUCUGCUGUACAACUUCUUUUGUUUGUAACACCAUAUUGUUGCUAGUAACUGGAAAUUAAUUUUCACAUGCCUCAGCUUAGAAAAAUAAAAAGCAGCCCUGCAUC